RNAcentral lists this ribosomal RNA (488 nucleotides) under uncultured bacterium. RNAcentral's name for it is "bacterial SSU rRNA". It matches the Rfam family "Bacterial small subunit ribosomal RNA", at positions 28 to 521 of the family's 1533-position model. The record is from RNAcentral.
GAUGAACGCUGGCGGCGUGCUUAACACAUGCAAGUCGAACGUGAAGAAGCAGCAAUGUUUCUGAAAGUGGCGGACGGGUGAGUAACACGUGGGUGACCUGCCUCAAAGUGGGGGAUAACCAGGGGAAACCGUGGCUAAUACCGCAUGGGCUUACACCGAUGGGAAUGGUGUGGGUAAAAUUUGGUGCUUUGAGAGGGGCCUGCGUCCGAUUAGCUAGUUGGUGAGGUAAUGGCUCACCAAGGCGAUGAUCGGUAGCUGGUCUGAGAGGAUGAUCAGCCACACUGGAACUGAGACACGGUCCAGACUCCUACGGGAGGCAGCAGUAAGGAAUAUUGCUCAAUGGGAGAAAUCCUGAAGCAGCAACGCCGCGUGAGGGAUGAAGGGCUUUUGCUCGUAAACCUCUGUAGUGAGGGAAAAAUUUCCAUUCUAUGGAAUAUGAUGGUACCUCAAAAGUAAGCCCCGGCUAACUACGUGCCAGCAGCCGCGGU